UGUAAACUGUGGCAUUUGUAGCAUACUUAGCACUUUUGUUAAUUCCCUAUUGGUCGUUGCAUUUGCAUUCAUUGCCUUAAGCUGUCUUAGAAAGAUAAAAAUAUGAGCGAAGAGAAAACAUCAAGAAAAUGCUCUGAAAACUUAUUGAGAAUUUUCUCUUCUGUUUUUUCUCAGAUGGAGGAGUCAGUUGUUACGUGCUACUCUGCUCGGUGGAUACGCGCCUGGCUACAUGUGUUCCCAUUGCCUCUUUUCACUUGAUACUGCUGAUAAGAGUCUGAGAAGAGGCAUGAUGGCCUGUGAAGAGCCAUAAAGGUAAAAAGAACCUGUCUGUAUUUCAUAUGUCAGAGAAAAGGAAGAAGUGUGAAUCAUCUCUCAGAUGACCACAAGCCAUAGGAGAACAAGCUAUAUGGACAGAAAUGAGUGGAACAAGACAUACCUGUCCAUGGCAGAGGGACAUACGUGCUGUGAGCAAGGCCAGACAUCCACACCAGCACACAGAGCAGAAUCACAGAAUCUUCAUGGUUGGAAAGGACCUCUGAGAUCACCGAGUCCAACCAGACACACACAAAUGACCCCCACAGUACAAUCUUGGCCACUAGAGCAUGCCUGAGCAGUGUCUGUCUUGGUACCUACAAGAACAGGAACACUGCAGCCCAGUCCUUUCCUCCCUCACCGCCUGAUCAGGAUGGGAGUUUGACAGUGGAGUAUAUAUACCUCCCUGGAAUAAAUAUGCUCUCUCCCGUAGCGGAUUUUGAGCC
RNAcentral lists this long non-coding RNA (758 nucleotides) under Calidris pygmaea (Spoon-billed sandpiper). Its description in RNAcentral is "lncRNA (ENSCPGG00000007008.1)". The record is from RNAcentral. Lineage: Eukaryota; Metazoa; Chordata; Aves; Charadriiformes; Scolopacidae.